AUUGAACGCUGGCGGCAGGCCUAACACAUGCAAGUCGAGCGAGCGGCGGACGGGUGAGUAAUGUAUGGGGACUGCCCGAUAGAGGGGGAUAACUACUGGAAACGGUGGCUAAUACCGCAUACUAUCGGAUAACCCAUAUGGGAUUAGCUAGUAGGUGGGGUAAAGGCUCACCUAGGCGACGAUCCCUAGCUGGGCUGAGAGGGUGAUCGGCCAAACUGUGACUGAGACAAGGCCCAGACGCCUACGGAGGCAGGAGGGGGGAAUAUUGCACAAUGGGCGUAAGCCUGAUGCAGCCAAGCCGCGUGUGUGAAGAAGGUCUUAGGGUUGUAAAGGACUGUAGGCGGGGAGGCGGUACCCACAGAAGAAGCACCGGCUAACUCCGUGCCAGCAGCCGCGGUAAUAC
RNAcentral lists this ribosomal RNA (403 nucleotides) under uncultured bacterium. RNAcentral describes it as "partial 16S ribosomal RNA". It matches the Rfam family "Bacterial small subunit ribosomal RNA", at positions 29 to 526 of the family's 1533-position model. The record is from RNAcentral.